This 4083-nucleotide long non-coding RNA is filed under the name Sorghum bicolor (sorghum). RNAcentral's name for it is "long non-coding RNA (SBIC_LNC013394)". Lineage: Eukaryota; Viridiplantae; Streptophyta; Magnoliopsida; Poales; Poaceae. The record is from RNAcentral.
CAGAGCAUAGAGAGUUGAACAGUGACCUCUCUCUCUCUCUCUGACAUGGCUAACUGUUUAGUUCUCUGCAAAGUUGUGGCAGAACCACCCUAAUUAUAUGGCCCACAUGCACUUGACAUUGUCCUUAAGACCUCUGACUACUGCACAUGAGAGUCAUAUAACUUGGAUAGUCUGUCGGGUGCCCUCGGAGGACCCCGAAUCAUCCACAUUUUAACUCGUACAGGAUCAACAUGGAGUUACCACAACAUUACAACAUUUGUUACAAAAAUAACUUACAUCAGAGUGCGGAAGAUUUAUAACUUAAUUUACAACAUAUGAUGAAGUAUAAACUUAACUAAAUUUCCAAAAGGUGUAUAGAGUAGCGGAAGCAUCUUAGGUGAAGCUUCUAAGGUAGAAGAGGUGGAUAAAUCAUGUCGCGCCCACCGACAUGACCUCCAUUAGCAGUCUAAGUCAGCACCUGCAACAGGGGUUAUAAAACCCUGAGUACAAAAGUACUCAACAAGACUUAACCGACUAGAAAAGAGGUGAAGACUCAGGUAUGCAGGCUAUAGGGAUUUAAGGUAAGGCUUUAGCAAGAUCAAAGCAUUUCUUUUGCAUAAAAGCUUACUAAGAGUAAAACCUACUUUCAAGUUUUAACUCAAGAUCAUCAUUUAUGACUAACCAAAAUUAUUAUCAAACUUUCAUAAGCAAACCACCUCUUUCUUAUACCAAAGUUCAUUUAUUACUACGAUGAUGGUGUGAGGAUUGAGGCUCCAUAUCCGAGGAAACACGGCGAUUCGAAUCGAUUAAACCCAGCUGGGGAUUCAGUACCACACGACAUAUGUAGAACUUAAUCUUGCAUAUGUCAACCUUUUCUAUAGAUCCUCCCAUACAAGAACGGGUCCAGCGUCACCCGAGAGUACAGUACACCACCAUCCUACAGCCAAUCUAGAUGUUUCCCGGUCAUCUCAGAUCCGUAAGGUGGGUACACGCUACUCUCGCCAUCUCUCCACUCCCAGUACGCGGUUAGCCGUUCUCAAGUAUCGGAAUAGCUAUAGGUAAGGCUUACCAGCGCAUGUGGGCUGUACUCAAAGGUCUCAAUCACAACAGGCCAACAACGGUACGGUCCUUAAUCGACACAGUUGGAGACACUACUUUAAGACUCCAUUCUUAAAGCAAGUCCACCGACCGGUCUCAAGUUGAACAGUAUUGACCUUAAAAGUAUUCCACAACAACCCUUCAAACUUUCUCAUUCGAAAACCUUUCUAAUAAGCAGGGCUAAGCAUACUAAGCAUUUUCAUAAAACAAGUAUCAAGGUUAAUAUUGAAAUCAUCAAGGUAGAUAAUGCAGCAAAUAGGAUUCACUCAACUCCUAUUCACCUAAUGCAUCAUAUUAACUCAAGUGAUAUAAAUAACUUUAUGAAAAUACAAGGAUAGGGUUUCAUGUCCGGGGCUUGCCUUGACCGGAAGGGAAGUUCGGCAACUCAGCAAAACCAGAUGGUUCUAUAAACUCGGAAGCAACCCACUGAGGAUCAGAUUCCUCCGGAGCGUAGUCUACACGUAGAAGUGCAUAUGCAUGAUCAAUGAGAUGCUCAUGACAUGAUAAAGACAGGUCACAUGUUCUUGGAUGAUGACAACAAACAAAACUACCUCGAGUACAACUCACCUUCACGGUAUAGAAACAAACUAACUUAGUUAUCAAAGCAUAGAUUACUACUAAGCAAAUUUUAUCAUCUUCAUUAAGCAAUGUUGUGUAGUUAUUAAGCAACAAAGAUCAUUUACAUGAAAGAAUCCUUAACCAGGGAGCAUAUCAUGCCAAGUAACCACUGGUUGUCAAUCAAUCCCAAAGAUCAAUCAAAACCUAAAAUGAUUAGGUUUUCUAUUUAUCUUAAUCAAUUCUUAAUUAAAUAUUAAUGGCAGUAAUUAAGUAUUAACAUCAAACAAUAAUUAAGUGCCAAAGGUCAUAAAAGAUAAUGACCUCAGGUCAUCACACAAUCCCAAAAGCACUCAAAUUCUAAUUUGGAAAUUAAGUUACUCAUUAUUUAAGUAAAGGCUAGCUAAAAGCAAACAAUUCUAUUUGCACACAAAACCAGGACAGCAGCAUAUACACAACUUCAUUCAACCAUAAUUAGGGAUCCAAACAUCCAACAAAGGUGAUAUUAGACUUUCUGGAAAGCUUAGAUAAUUUUCUACAACUUUGUUAUUAUCUUCGAGAACUGAUUUAAUAGAUAACAUGGCCAAACAGUAUGAAUAAACAAUUUUGUCCAGACCUUGGACAGAAUCAGACAUUAAGCUUCAUACAUCUAUAACCAGAGUUCUAGAUCACCAAAAGUCAUGAUCCAUAACAUUUUGGAAAGCUUAUGAAAAUUACUACAAUUCAUGAUUCAUAAGUUUAGUAGGUUGAAAUUGCACAACUACAGAAAACUGAUCCAGAAUUUGACAGAGAGGAACCAUUUCUGAAACUUAAAUUUAAACAGGCAUAACUCAGAAACUAUAGGGCCAAAUGCCACCAAAAUUUAACACCAGCUAGAUACAUGAAUUCUAUACAACUUUGUUAUAGACAAGUUUCAUAUCCAACAUUAUUUACCUAGAGCAAUUCAUAAGGUUCCAGAAACUGUCCAGAAAUCACUAAUAAUUUAAUUAUAGACAAAUAACAUUUCAUUAAUGUUUCAAACUUGGACCUGGGCAAAACCCAGCUCACAAAUAGUUGAAAUACAUUAAAGAGAUACUAGAAAACAUCAUGGUCAUCCCUAAAUAAAUUCCUUUCAUGUUUUUAUUAAUUUAUUUAGGUAAAUAGACAAAGCAAUAACCAUAUAUCAAAAGUACACAGUAAAUUCUGAGAAAACUACAGCAGCUCAUAUAUGCUCUCCAAAAUCUACUGUAUAAGUUUCAUGCCAUUUGGAUAAGUAUAGCAAUUUCCAUGAAAAAGAUAAAUUUCCAUCACAAGAAAGCAUGUAGCAACAAGAUAAAUAAGAAACUUGACAUUUUCUACAAACACAUAGCUAAAUUAUGUAUCUAUAUAAUAUAACAACCUCAUACAAAGGCAGAGGAACCAUAUUUCACAUUUAUUUAUUUUUAGUUUAAUUGUAAACUAUUUAAUAAGCACUAAACAAGACAAAUUAAUAACUUAACCAUAUAUCAUACACUGAACAUGAAAUCUUUACUGUAACACUCACAUAGCAUCAUAAGAACACCAUAAAAAUUUCAGGCCCAUAGGAGCUACACAGAAUUAGAUAUGAAUUUCUCCUUUUUAAACAUAAUUAAAAGGCAUAAAUCAUAACUAAUUAUUUUACUACAAAACAUGGUCAGUUUCAUAUUUUUAAUAAACACUAGACAUCUCAAGGAGCACAACAAAAUUUGGUUCACCAAAAUUGGAGCUACCAAACUCUAGAUAUGAAUUUUCAAACAUUCAACAAAACAUCUACAAACAAGUCCUUAUAGCACUAUUCACCUGAGUCACAGUCUCUGCAAUUAGACCCCUGGAGAACAUCAAAUUGUCGCGCGAAGUCCCUGGCCGCGAACUGAAAACAGAGGAGCUCGCCGGAGAUCGCAGUUUCGACGUUGGGGUGCUCUUCGGCGGCAGUGGAGCAGCGGGGGAGUUCACUUGGACUCACGCACACCCUAUGGUUCCCUCUACUUGGCCAGAGGUGGUCUGUGGAGGCAUGGCCACGUGAACAGCGGCACUGGCGGAGUUCUGGACGGGGCUAGGGGAAAACUUGGCGCUCCGGCCGCCGGGAAGGCGAGGGGACGAGUUGGGGAGCAUCAGGGGCUCAUCACGACUUCGUCAAGCUGCUCAGAACUGGUGGAGAAGCACGGAGGAGGGCUGGCCACGUGAAGCGCCCACGGCGGCGCUCGGUCGGAUUUGGAGAAGGAAAAGAAACUCCGGCGCUUGAGUGGGUUAUGCAGCGAGCUUGGGAGUGCGCUGGGUUCGCAGAGGGAUGGCGAACAUCGUGGACAGCUCAAUUUGGUGAGAGAGGUGUUGAGCACGACGAAUUUGAAGGGGAAGGGCGUCGGGUUUCUUUCGGUUAUGGACAGCAAACAGACGACGUCGUCCACGUCGGUGCUCAGAAAGGAGAAAGGAGCGAGGCUAUGACGUCCACGUCGC